Molecule: ribosomal RNA, 465 nt
Filed under: Triticum aestivum (bread wheat)
Lineage: Eukaryota; Viridiplantae; Streptophyta; Magnoliopsida; Poales; Poaceae
Description: partial small subunit ribosomal RNA
Source: RNAcentral
AUGCUGCCAGCUCGCUGGCAUGGCUGCCGGAAAGCGGUGAGACCCUCCAUGAUGUCGGGAGGGGAAGUUUGUUGGUCUAAGUCCCUUCACAUGGAGGCGUGUUGGCAGCCUAACAUCAGCCCACACAAGUCCAACACAUAUGAACCGUUGAUCUGUUCUGCAUCCAACGGUUGUGAGUAUUUCCUGGUGAAGGGAGCAAGGAGAAAACCCUCGCCAUUCCACCCCUGCUGGUGGCGGCUGCCAUUCGUGAGAGUAAGAGUGAGAGCACAUAAGAGAAAACACAACCUGAGAGAGAGGAAGAAGAAGAAGCAGAGGUUCUAUUCAGAUUUGCUGCAUCUGACUAGACAGUGUUCAAGCUGGUGGUUGGAGGCUCAAAUGUGCUUGGAGCCUUGGAUCGACCCCAAACUUGGUGAGCCCGUUCUUUACUUUGCGUACUUCAAUCUGGUUAGCUGGUUUGAGGAUUGA